GCUCCUUGCCGGUGACGCGGCCACGGCACAGACGAGGCCCAGCCCUGGCGGCAUGCGUGACGGCCCGGGGCGAGCUCGUCGCGGGCGCCGGCAUCUACGAGGGCGGCCCGCGCGCCGCCUCACACCUCCUGCUCCGCGCGGGCGGCCCGGCCCCAGCGCGACCUCGUCGCAGGCAAGUUGUACCCCCAUGUGGCGUGUCCUCCGGAUCGGCGCGGCCAGCCUGCAGAUUCGGCGGCGCCGCCACGCCGCAGGGUCCUCGCAAAGACGAGACGACUGGCCAAGCGCUGCGUCGCGGAGACUGUCGCGGCCCGGAAGCGCACCCGCCAGCUGCUCGGCACCGCGUCUGCGUUCCACUUGCUGGAGGCGGAGGCCAGGAACGCCAAGAUGAGGCCCCCCACGCAUGUCCAGCCGCUGUCCAAGAAGAAGACCCCGAAGAGCAGCGACUCUAACAGAGACAGGGAUAAGCAGCUCAAGCUCACAAUGCCAUGCAGCUGCCGCUGCAGCAGACACCUCGACACCAUCCGCCACGCCAUCAUCCCAGGAUAACAAGAAGGCUAUGAAACAGGAGGCGCAAGAUAUGUGGUUACAGAUAUCCCAGUUUCUUUUCCACGUAUGCUUUGAUGGUUAAAGAACAUGAUCGUUUUUUGUAUGAAGGAAUCUCUCUUCAAAUCAGCUGCUGAUAAUGCCAAACUGAAUUCUGGACACAUGCCACCCAGCUCUGUUAGGAAGUAUGACGAAGUUAUUCAUGCACUAAAACAAAUAUUUGGGUCGUCUUUACAGGUAGAAACAAUUACGACAGGAAUAUCAUGCUUAUGAAUUUGUGUUAGUAUUCAUUCAUGUAAGAAAAAGAUCUUUUGUAAGUAUGCAAAUUAUGAAGCAACAGGUUUCCUCAUACGAGAUUGACUCCAAGGCUGUGGUUGUGUAUAUCUGAAGCAUAUGUAUAUCUCAAGGUGCUAUGUUCUUUAUGCCUUACAAAUUUUAUGGCCAAACAAGAAGGCAGACUCAAAAAAGACAUAGAAGCACAUGUAUUUAAAGAAAAUGCUACUCAUAUGUAAUUCACAGUUUUGACAGACCAACACAGACCUAAAAUAUUAUUUAUAACUGUACUAAUUAUAAACUGGUCUACAGGUCAUGGCGCGGUGUUACCGCGCCGGUAUUUCUAGUUGAAUCCUAAUUCCUAAACCGCCCCCUCCACUAGAGAGCCGUCACCCCGAUCCCAUCUCGCCUCCCUGACUUCCUCCAUGGAUCUCGCGCACCUCGUCCUCCCCGGCACCUCUAUCCUCUCGUGGCUCAGCCUCCCUCCCCGACCUUCGCCACGCGGGCGAGCGUGCGGCUCGCCGGCUCCUAUCCGGCCUCUUCCUCGCCCGGCGGAUCCAUCCUACCCCACGGCCUCCUCCUCACCCGGCGGCGCGGCCCUCCUCCUCCCUUGUGUGGACGGCUCCCCGCUGGUGUGCUCUUGCACGGCACGUGCAGGUGCCCGGCAUUGAGGCUUGUCGUAUGGCCGGAUAAGUUGCUACGCGAGCCCAAGAUAGAAGAUACUAGAGAGGCAGCUGAUGUCAACAGCUAUGCUGCCAAAUUCUCCUGGUGAUAAAUUGGGAAAAUGAUUGAUCCUGGUGUAUAUAUAGCUGAAACAGAUUGCUGCAAGAAGCAUUGACCAAAGUGAAGACCAACAUUUGAGAAAAGUGUUCUUCCUAAUGCGAGUGAUACCCGAUCGUUUUAGACUGCUGAAAAGAGUGUCGACCCAAAGUUCCUUCUAUAUGCAAGCUAUGCAAAGUGUUCAGAAUAGUGUUACUUCUACUCCCAGUAAAACCCCAUCACAUCAGGUAAAAAAUUAAAAUAUUCAUUACACCCAUGAUGGAAUAUCAGUUUAGUUCCUAUCACAUUUUUUCCUAUGCACUGCUGCCAAAAGCACCAUCCGAGGAAAAGCAACACCAAACAUACAGAAAACUGCUACCAAAACUCCAGCUUCUAAGGCGACGCGAAGUGUUUCUCAGAACAAUAAAAAUUAUAUUUCUAGGGUUCAACUUAUGAAUGCUGCUACCAAACGUGUAUGGACAAGAAGCUAGAAGGUAUGAAAUGCAAAUCUCAUUUAUUCCGGUGGCACUAUACAUCUGACAGCCAAUUCAUGUUGGUGGCAAAGAGGUAGUAUUUGUACACCCUCUUUGGCAGCAGAACCAUACCGAGUUUUAUCUAGUUGGAAUUUUUGUUAUAAGCUCCGCCUACCAAUUUGAUCAUAGUUCAGAGUUCACUCAUCUAGUAAAAUUGAUUACUGAAUUGUGAUCUGAAUUUCAUUCUCUACCACUGGAUCGGAUUAGCACAUCCAGAAUUCCACCACUUGUUAUUUCCAUGAAAAAUAUUUAUAUUUUCAUUUACAUAAAAAAGGCAGCAAACUGUAGUACACAAAGGAGGUUAUUUUUGUUUGCCUAAACCAUUACUGUACAUUAUGAUAUGAUACAACACUAUGGUCAUCAUAAAUCAACUAUCUAAUCAAUGUUGUGGUGUUUGUAAUUUUUAAAUCUUUAUAGGCUCAUAUGGCUUUGUAUCGAAUUGUAACCCCUUUUUAUAUGCAACCUAUCUACUGCCCAUAGAUGUGAUGUAUCAUAUAUAAUAAUGUGAGAAGUAAUUACUGUUUAUUUAUAAUAAACUAAUCAGCCUUUGUUAUUCUUGUGACAACAUAUGUGGCUGUGUUCCGGUUUAAAAAAAAUUAUGUCUGGCUGUGACUUGCUACUGAAAUUUUCUAAUGCAUAUUAUUCUUUUUAAUUCUGCAGGAAACUUAAACUUGAAUGGAUCAAUCGUACUUGGAGCCAUGCCAUUGUCAAUACAAGGAGUUAUCAAAUAUCGAACAAUAUUUUCUGUAGCCUACUUAGGAUGUGGUUGCGUUCGCACAACACUAUGUUCAAUUUGGAUCCAUGUAUUCGUCACUUUACAUACUAUCUACUUUCUCAUGAAAUAUUUUCAAUUCGGAUAAUGUAUUGGGCACGUAUAUUUAUGGCUUCAAAUCAUAUUCAUUCUGAUUGA
Panicum virgatum (switchgrass) is the source of this 3018-nucleotide long non-coding RNA. RefSeq lists it as uncharacterized. The record is from RefSeq and is a predicted model, not a curated record. Lineage: Eukaryota; Viridiplantae; Streptophyta; Magnoliopsida; Poales; Poaceae. The transcript has 6 exons.